Molecule: long non-coding RNA, 2140 nt
Filed under: Cricetulus griseus (Chinese hamster)
Lineage: Eukaryota; Metazoa; Chordata; Mammalia; Rodentia; Cricetidae
Description: lncRNA (ENSCGRG00015034054.1)
Source: RNAcentral
AUGUGGGAUGGCCUCCCAAAGUCCCUUCUAACUCCACUGGGUAAAUACUGAUCCACUACCAGGGGCCCCACAGAGUGCCGAGGCCUCCUCAUUGACAUCCCAUUCAGGGGUCUGGAUCAGUCCCGUGAUGGCCUCCCAGACAUCACUCUGGGGUCCAUGUGCUCCCCCUUACUCAGGUACUGGCCUGGAGAUACACCCCUGCUGCACCCCUGCUGUUGAACUCAGCAGGCUUGCUUCAUCCUGGAAUUCUUACAAGAUGACAUUGGUCUCCAGGGGGCCCUUCACUGGGAAUGUUCCUCAGGGGACAUAAGAGCCAUUAAUUCCUGUGGUUUCCAUAAAGGAAGUGCCCUGAUUCCUUUGUCAUAGCCCCAGUGGCUCUGGAUGAAGCCAUAUUACAAUUCUUGGGCAUCUCAAGAGUGGCAGUAUUGAAUGAGGGAAAGACUGGAUCACAAAUCUCAGGAACUGCAAUGUCCUGUGAUUGAAUUCUUCUUGUGCCUUAUGUUUCCCUCCUUUGCCAAGUGGGGUGAAUAAGAGUAUCAACCACAUAGAAUCAGCUCGAGGAAGAAAUGAAUCAGUACCAUCUCUUCAGAAUAGAGUCUGGUGGCAGUCAGUGUGGAACUGGGGGCUCCUGGCUCCUCAUCUUAAGGUUGGGGCAUUUGGUUGACCCAUUGCUCCUAAUCCAAUUAUUGGUUUGUGACUUUUUUUUUUUUUUUUUUUUUGAGAUGGGAAGACUGAGAAAGAGGGGGAGGGACAGCAAAAAGAGGCAGAGGGAAGGAGAAUAUAAUUAAUUUACUUCCCUGCUAACCCAAGGGGAAGUCAUUGGCUAAUGUGGGCUCCAGUUUUCCCAAUUCUUUAGCUGGAGUCACGCUGAAAUGACCAGCUGCUUUCAGACAGUGUGAUAUGGUGAGACUGAGGUCUGGAGGAGACUGGGUUGGCAUAGGACUACUGUCAAGUUUUACUCUGGCAUAUGCUCUAUUGAAGGCAUGGGUUGGGAUUUAGCCAGUAUUUUCUGGUUCAACUUUAUAUAAAAUACAAUUUCAGAUUAUUCGUUGAACUACUCCUGAACACCCAGGAAUAUUGAAAAAUAAGAAAAAAAGUCAUGUCUGUUUGCUCAGUGUAUUUAAAAGUGGUGUGACUCAAAGGGAAACCUCUAGAAUAUAGAGCUGAAGCCAGGGUUGCACAAAGGUUUGUGGAAUGCUCUGACUGUCGUGGGUGCUGGCUGGCAACUCAGGCUGGGAUGCAGCCAGCAGGAAAUGCGUGAGCAGCCCCACGAAGCUGCACCUGCUCGUCCUUGGAACUCCUCCUGCGGUCAAAAGUAUUUCAGAGAUGGAACCCAGCCAGCCCCGGGGGAAGGCUCCUGAGAAAAUAAAAGAACGAAAGCAACUUGGCCCCCAGAAUCUGCGUGAGACAGGUGACCUUCGUGGGAUGCCCAGUAGCAUUCAGCAUAAAGAAUUUUGCCCUUUGGAUUCUUCGGGAGUUAGAUUACGUACAAGGCAAGUGUAGAUUUUCAAUUUACACUCUGACAUGAGUCACUGAGCGCUCCGAGUCCGAGAUGACUUCUGUAAACAGGAUUGAACACGGAGCUAUCCGACUGUGACCUGGAACUUUGGCGCCUGACACAGACUGAUGAAACUGGAGUUUGCCUGGCACUCCUUUACAGGAAUAAAAAAAUCGGAUUUGGUCUUCUGGAACAUACAUAGAACAUCGGGGGAAAUGCUGAACUCCAUAUCCACUGCCUUGGCCAUUCUCAGGACCGUCCAGAAAAUGGCCUUCAUGUUAUUAAACCCUGGCCCAUGGGGAUCCCCAGUGGAGUUCCUCUUAGCCGCAGGAAUCUCCACGCUUGGGGGCCCCUAUGUGGGAGUGGGCAAUCUGGUUGAUGACUCAGAACAAACAACAGAGGCCCAGGAUAGGGAAGAGAGGGGAAAAGCCCUGGAGGUAAACUUUAGCUUGAUGGCUCAGCUUCCUAGGGUUGUUGAAGAAGGUGGGCACUUGUUAUGAACCAAGGAGUGUUGACUGAACCUCACUCUCAGCUGUGAACUGGUAGCCUGGUGAAAGUCAAACACCCUGUAAACUCGCUGGUGGGACUCUAUCAAUGCAGAGAAGCAAUCCUCAGUCUGGCUUCUACCUGGUGGUUCAUGAA